This 72-nucleotide transfer RNA is filed under the name Synechococcus sp. RNAcentral's name for it is "tRNA-Gly". It matches the Rfam family "tRNA". Rfam says of the family: Transfer RNA (tRNA) molecules are approximately 80 nucleotides in length. Their secondary structure includes four short double-helical elements and three loops (D, anti-codon, and T loops). The record is from RNAcentral. RNAcentral also lists the same sequence under 14 other names. Lineage: Bacteria; Bacillati; Cyanobacteriota; Cyanophyceae; Synechococcales; Synechococcaceae.
GCGGAUGUAAUUCAGUGGUAGAAUGUCAGCUUCCCAAGCUGAACGUCGCCGGUUCGAAUCCGGUCAUCCGCU